RNAcentral lists this ribosomal RNA (439 nucleotides) under uncultured bacterium. Its description in RNAcentral is "partial 16S ribosomal RNA". It matches the Rfam family "Bacterial small subunit ribosomal RNA", at positions 339 to 795 of the family's 1533-position model. The record is from RNAcentral.
CUACGGGGUGCAGCAGUGGGGAAUAUUGGACAAUGGGCGAAAGCCUGAUCCAGCCAUGCCGCGUGAGUGAUGAAGGCCUUCGGGUUGUAAAGCUCUUUUAUCCGGGAAGAUAAUGACUGUACCGGAAGAAUAAGCCCCGGCAAACUUCGUGCCAGCAGCCGCGGUAAUACGAAGGGGGCUAGCGUUGUUCGGAUUUACUGGGCGUAAAGCGCACGUAGGCGGCUUGUUAAGUCAGGGGUGAAAUCCCAGAGCUCAACUCUGGAACUGCCUUUGAUACUGGCUGGCUCGAGUAUGGUAGAGGUUGGUGGAACUCCGAGUGUAGAGGUGAAAUUCGUAGAUAUUCGGAAGAACACCAGUGGCGAAGGCGGCCAACUGGACCAUUACUGACGCUGAGGUGCGAAAGCGUGGGGAGCAAACAGGAUUAGAUACCCCCGUAGUC